UGUGUCUCCGGUAGAGAGGACGCGGUAAGACUGGGGGGGCAGGAGUUAGACGGAGUGAUUGGGUUGAAGAGGUUCGUAGGCGGGUGGGUAUGUCAGUGGGUAAAACUAACAACUUAACUGUGAAACGGCAAGUGAUACGGCAGGGCUAGAGUAAGGUAGAAGUAGCUGGAAUAAGUAGUGUAGCGGUGAAAUGCAUAGAUAUUACUUAGAACACCAAUGGCGAAGGCAGGUUACUAUGUCUUAACUGACGCUGAUGGACUAAAGCGUGGGGAGCGAACAGGAUUAGAUACACUAGUAGUC
RNAcentral lists this ribosomal RNA (300 nucleotides) under uncultured Costertonia sp. RNAcentral's name for it is "partial 16S ribosomal RNA". It matches the Rfam family "Bacterial small subunit ribosomal RNA", at positions 496 to 795 of the family's 1533-position model. Lineage: Bacteria; Pseudomonadati; Bacteroidota; Flavobacteriia; Flavobacteriales; Flavobacteriaceae. The record is from RNAcentral.